This 944-nucleotide long non-coding RNA is filed under the name Anser brachyrhynchus (Pink-footed goose). Its description in RNAcentral is "lncRNA (ENSABRG00000009213.1)". The record is from RNAcentral. Lineage: Eukaryota; Metazoa; Chordata; Aves; Anseriformes; Anatidae.
CAUGUAUUUUUCAUGAGUGUCAGCUGUCCCUGCGAUCACGCUGCUGGCACUUCCAACUUGAUCUGUCUGAAUUUCCUUUGAGUACCGUACCAGGCAGUGCUUCUGGAUGAAGCUUUGCCCAAAGGCACUCCCGUGCUCUAGACUGGGUCGGGAUGCUGGGCCCAGCUGUGAGCUGUGUGUGACAUGAGGAGUCACCCUUGCAAGUUUUGCCCUGCACUCAUCGAGCUCAGCUCCUUCCUGCCUCCCCCGUGCUCGCAGCGCUUCGUGGGUUAGCGCCGCUGUCCGCAGGGGCCUUCCCCGUCCCCUUCCCAGCAACGCAGGAGGGAGGCUGUGCUCACACACCAUCUAAAUCCGGACCAAGAGGUGCAGCUCGCUCGGUGCCCAUCGACAUGGUAACAUCCGUUCUUCAUAUGGUACGUGUGUACGCGAUGGGCAUGCACAGAGGGUCACCACCAGCCCAGCCCUGUCUGCAGCGACCUGAUGAUCUUUGUGUGUUUGAGUGCAUGAACUUCUUCUCAAAAAGAAGGUCCAUGUGGCCCACAAGGUGUGGAGGAAGAAUAUAGAGUAAGCAGCCAUGCAAGGUAGGGUAUCCCCCUCCAUGACUAUGGGGUGGCCAGACCAGGAGAUCAGUACCUGGAGUGGCACUUUCAAACUGCUGUGCCUCAUGUUGGCACUAAUCUCUUUCAUACAUCUGAACUCUCAAAGCCCCUAAGCACCCUUUUUUGUGUAAGUGUGGAUUUAAUCAUCUAACUGAAGUCCCAAAUUUGAAACUUUUGCUGAGGAGCCUGGCUGGUUCAGGAGGACAAUGCCGUCUUAUGUCACACAUUUUUUGGAGGAGAGUGGCACAUUAACAGCCAGCUCAAAAGGAGGGAAUUUCCUUUCCAGGCAGAAUGAGCAGGCAGGUCUGCUGCUAAUCACCACGUCUGUGGUUUAUUUAACUGUAU